This 399-nucleotide long non-coding RNA is filed under the name Elaeis guineensis (African oil palm). RNAcentral's name for it is "long non-coding RNA (EGUI_LNC005585)". The record is from RNAcentral. Lineage: Eukaryota; Viridiplantae; Streptophyta; Magnoliopsida; Arecales; Arecaceae.
CCCCCGAAUAACCUUUUUUUCCCACUAAUCCCGCGUACCCUCUCGUACCCUCUCUUACAGUAACACCCCUCUCCCAUCCCUCGCACCAUCCACAUGGCAUCUUUUUAUUCGAUCCAAAGACCAGGAAAGGUUUGCAUAUACCAUUCGUGAGGGCUUAAGUGGGUCGUACAUAAAUGGCAGCGGCAUCGCUCCACCAACCUACAAACCGGGGUGGACGGUGGCCCCACAAUCCUCGCUUGGGAAACAAUUUAAGGGUUGCUUUGUUUGGGAUGUGGUGACGAUUUCUUAGAAAUUAUUUAUUUUAAAAAUAAUUUUAAAAAAUAAUAAAUUUUAUUAUAUUUAGUUGAUUGAAAAAUUAUUUUAAAAAAUAACAUCAAAGAAAAUCACUAAGAUGGGAGA